CCUCCAGUUCUCCCAGUGACCCUCCCAGUACCCCCAGUGCCCCACCAGUGCUCCCCCAGUACCCUCCAGUUCUCCCAGUGGGCCCUCCCAGUACCCCCAGUGCCCCCCCAGUGCUCCCCCAGUAUCCUCCAGUGCUCCCAGUGCCCCUUCCAGUACUCCCAGUGCCCCCCCCGUUUUCCCAGUGCCCCUCCCAGUGCCCCUCUGUACCCUCCAGUUCUCCCAGUGCCCCCUCCCAGUGCUCCCAGUGCCCUCCCACUGCCCCUUCCCCGCCUCCCCAGUCGCCCAGCAUCCUCCCAGUUCCCCAGGGCUGGGUUGUGACUUAUGGGGCAGGGCCGUGGGGCAGGGCCAGGGUCAUGGCCGUGGGGCAGGGAUGUGGGGCAAGGGUGUGGGGCGGGGCUGUGGGGCGGGGUCAUGGCCGUGGGGCAGUUAUGGGGAAGGGNNNNNNNNNNGGUGUGGGGCAGGGGUGUGGGGCAGUUAUGGGGCAGGGCUCUGGGGCAGAGGUGUGGGGCAGGGUUAUGGGGCAGGGUCACGGCUAUGGGGCAAGGCUGUAAGGCAGUGCUAUGGGGCAGGGCUAUGGGGUGAGGUUAUGGGGCAGGGUUAUGGGGCAGAACCAUGGCUAUGGGGCAGGGCUAUGGGGCAGGACCAUGGUUAUGGGGCAAGGCUAUGGGGCAGGGCUAUGGGGUACGGUUAUGGGGCAGGGUUAUGGGGCAGAGCCAUGGCUAUGGGGCAGGGCUAUGGGGUGAGGUUAUGGGGCAGGGUUAUGGGGCAGAACCAUGGCAAUGGGGCAAGCCUAUGGGACACAGUUAUGGGGCGGGGCUAUGGGGUGAGGUUAUGGGGCAGUGCAGUGCUAUGGGGCAGGGCCACAGCUAUGGGGCAUGGUUAUGGGGCACGGUUAUGGGGCUGGGUCACAGCUAUGGGGCAGGGCUAUGGGGCGAGGUUAUGGGGCAGGGGCACAGCUAUGGGGCAGGGCUAUGGGGCGAGGUUAUGGGGCAGGGGCACAGCUAUGGGGCAGGGCUAUGGGGCGAGGUUAUGGGGCAGGGGCACAGCUAUGGGGCAGGGCUAUGGGGCGAGGUUAUGGGGCAGGGGCACAGCUAUGGGGCAGGGCUAUGGGGCGAGGUUAUGGGGCAGGGGCACAGCUAUGGGGCAGGGCUGUAAGGCAGUGUUAUGGGGCAGGGCCGUGGGGCAGGGUUAUGAGGCAGGGCUAUGGGGCAAGGUUAUGGGGCAGGGCCAUGGCUAUGGGGCAAGGCUAUGGGGCAGGGCUAUGGGGCAGAACCAUGACUAUGGGGCAGGGUUAUGGGGCAAGGUUGUGGGGCAGGGUUAUGGGGCAAAACCAUGGUUGUGGGGCAGGACUAUGGGGCAGGGCCAUGGCUAUGGGGUGAGGUUAUGGGGCAGGGCUAUGGGGCAGAACCAUGGUUAUGGGGCAAGGCUAUGGGACAUGGUUAUGGGGCAGGGCUAUGGGGUAGGGUUAUGGGGCACGGUUAUGGGGCACGGUUAUGGGGCAUGGUUAUGGGACAGGGUCACAGCUAUGGGGCAGGGCUGUAAGGCAGUGCUAUGGGGGCAGGGUUAUGGGGCAGGGUUAUGGGGCAAGNNNNNNNNNNGGUGACAUCCCCCUGCCUUUGCCCCCUGUGUCCCAUCCUGCUCCCGGUUGGGAUCAGGGGUGGUGGGGGGCACCGGGCCCCAUGUCCCUGCUGCCACAGCCCUAGGACACCGUGCCACAGGCAGGAGGUGAUGGCAGGGCCAGCAGGCAUGGGCCCCCCCACGGCGCUUUCCCUUGGCUGGAGCCACCCUCUGCCCAGCCCAAAGUCCCGCAGCGCCUCACGGCCCGGGCAAAGUCUUGCGGAGAAGCAAAGCUCUCCGCAGCCAUCCGAGCCCCAGGGGGGGGGGGGAGGCGGGGGGGGGGCCGAGCCCCCCCGUGGGGACAGCUGUGGGGCCGGGGCAGGUGGCGGCGCCCGAAAUAGCCCCACAAAUCCCCCGAGCGGAAACAGGGGGGGCCGGG
This 1996-nucleotide long non-coding RNA is filed under the name Anas zonorhyncha (Eastern spot-billed duck). RNAcentral describes it as "lncRNA (ENSAZOG00000016571.1)". Lineage: Eukaryota; Metazoa; Chordata; Aves; Anseriformes; Anatidae. The record is from RNAcentral.